Molecule: ribosomal RNA, 484 nt
Filed under: uncultured bacterium
Lineage: Bacteria
Description: partial 16S ribosomal RNA
Rfam family: Bacterial small subunit ribosomal RNA
Source: RNAcentral
AUUGAACGCUGGCGGCAUGCUUUACACAUGCAAGCCGAACGGCAGCGCGGGCUUCGGCCUGGCGGCGAGUGGCGAACGGGUGAGUAAUGCAUCGGAACGUGCCCAGUAGUGGGGGAUAGCCCGGCGAGAGCCGGAUUAAUACCGCAUACGACCUGAGGGUGAAAGCGGGGGACCGAAAGGCCUCGCGCUAUUGGAGCGGCCGAUGUCGGAUUAGCUAGUUGGUGGGGUAAAGGCUUACCAAGGCGACGAUCCGUAGCUGGUCUGAGAGGACGACCAGCCACACUGGGACUGAGACACGGCCCAGACUCCUACGGGAGGCAGCAGUGGGGAAUUUUGGACAAUGGGGGCAACCCUGAUCCAGCCAUGCCGCGUGCGGGAAGAAGGCCUUCGGGUUGUAAACCGCUUUUGUUCGGGAAGAAAUCCUCUGGGCUAAUACCCCGGGGGGAUGACGGUACCGGAAGAAUAAGCACCGGCUAACUACGUG